AUUGAACGCUGGCGGAAUGCUUUACACAUGCAAGCCGAACGGUAACAGGUUAAGCUGACGAGUGGCGAACGGGUGAGUAAUACAUCGGAACGUGCCCAGUCGUGGGGGAUAACGUAGAGAAAUUUACGCUAAUACCGCAUACGAUCUAAGGAUGAAAGCGGGGGACCGUAAGGCCUCGCGCGAUUGGAGCGGCCGAUGUCAGAUUAGGUAGUUGGUGGGGUAAAGGCCUACCAAGCCGACGAUCUGUAGCUGGUCUGAGAGGAUGAUCCGCCACACUGGGACUUAGACACGGGCCAGACGCCUACGGGAGGCAGCAGUGGGGAAUAUUGGAAAAUGGGGGGAACCCUGAUCCAGCCAUGCCGCGUGUGUGAAGAAGGCCUUAUGGUUGUAAAGCACUUUAAGCGAGGAGGAGGCUCUUUUGGUUAAUACCCAAGAUGAGUGGACGUUACUCGCAGAAUAAGCACCGGCUAACUCUGUGCCAGCCGCCGCCGUAA
Molecule: ribosomal RNA, 494 nt
Filed under: uncultured bacterium
Lineage: Bacteria
Description: partial 16S ribosomal RNA
Rfam family: Bacterial small subunit ribosomal RNA
Source: RNAcentral